GAAUAAGAAGCGAAAAAUUGCAUUCAGUUUCGACCUGAAAAAAUGGUAAAAAGCAUUAUCUUACCCUUAUUCU
RNAcentral lists this transfer RNA (73 nucleotides) under Cyrtacanthacris tatarica. RNAcentral describes it as "tRNA-Arg". The record is from RNAcentral. Lineage: Eukaryota; Metazoa; Arthropoda; Insecta; Orthoptera; Acrididae.